Molecule: non-coding RNA, 239 nt
Organism: Pelobates cultripes (western spadefoot toad)
Lineage: Eukaryota; Metazoa; Chordata; Amphibia; Anura; Pelobatidae
Source: the annotation of a GenBank genome assembly
ACCAGUGGCGGCUCUAGACUUGGCGAGGCCUUAGGCGAAACUCAUACAUGAGGCCCCCACUAACACCAUUAUUGGAAAAAAACAGCAGUUGACUUGUGUGUGUAUAAGAAGCUGUAGAUAGAUUGAAGGGCGGGCUUGCAGUAUUGGAUAUAGAGAACUAGUCUUUGUAUACGUCGUUGCAUUGUCUACCUGUGUGUGCCUGGCAGUGAGUAUCUUUGUAUAUGUAUGCAUGUUUCUCU